CCUGUUCAUUCCAGCUCUGGCUACUGUAGUGACUAGAUCCACAGGACAUCUUAAAGCUAUUGCAGAUUGCAAACUGACGAACACCAAAGCCUGUUUCCCUCCUGUCCGGUGAAGCUCCUGUCUGGGCCACUCCCCUCUGGGAACAGGAUGACUCCUUAACAUAAAUUGACCUACAGUUUAUAGAGCUACUGUCAACUUUCUGCAACAUAAUUGAGGAAUCUAGCUGAACAGCUUCUGCAGCCUUGUCUUUGCUGCAACUACAGGUACAUUAGGUGAGAAUGACCUACUGAUUCAUGAAUCGAGUCGCGAGGAGCCAUUCAGAGGACCACGUUAUGAUCGCAGAGAACCAUCGCCCGGAGCAACCGGAUUCUUACUCCAGGAGGACCUACCCAAGAAGAACCACCACAUUUUAAGGAACCGUCAUGGAUAAUCACCCUUCCUUUUGAAGACAUUUCUUUAUUAGAGACACUUUAGAGACUUUUCUCUGUCACCACCCUUGCCGGACAUCGCGGUCAAGCAACCGAAGAGGCCCAAGAAUGCUAGGCCAGGUUCUUCUUGUUAGUUCAACUGUAGUGUAGCAUGUUGCCCUUUACAUGUUUAUUCCCUUUAGAGGUCUGGUUUGAGUUAUUGUAGUGUUAGGGAGCCGCUGAAAUGACAACAUAUGGUGAAAAGGCGGGGGAACUGUUGUGGAAAAAGUGUUCGCCAUCUAUCCUAUGGAGAUGCACAGAUUCGUUCGCAUUGUGCAGAAACUUUUGUAUGAUGGUCUGGUCGUCCCUGUAGCCGAUUUGUGCCCGGUCUGGUAUUAAUGCAGGAAACCAGUGUCAUGGCGCCAGCUGAGGCGGGAGGGAUGGGGAACGUCAAACAAAGGUUUCUUCAUCCGCUCAUGUAAGACCGCCUUCCAUCUUCUGGUAUAAAUAAACCAUGCCUAGC
This is a long non-coding RNA of Bufo gargarizans (Asiatic toad), 930 nucleotides long. RefSeq lists it as uncharacterized. The transcript is spliced from 3 exons. NCBI's taxonomy places the organism in Eukaryota, Metazoa, Chordata, Amphibia, Anura, Bufonidae. The record is from RefSeq and is a predicted model, not a curated record.